UCUUCUUUCUUUCUUCUUCCUUUGUUUUUACACUACAGCACCAUCUCACAACAGCCCCAAUCCAUUUCUUUCACUGAAAAUCAUAGAUAUCUCUCUAUAAGAGGAAAUCAAACUCUUACUAAAGUUUAGCUUCAGUUGUGGUGACGAGAACAAAAACAUGGACACUUGAGCUCCUUUUGUACAAUCUUUCGCGUCUUUUGUUUUCAGUGCACAAGUUCUUCCUGGAAGCAGUGAGAGUGUUAGAGGUGGCAAGGAUUCUGUGAUUCUCAUUUGUUAGAAUGUAGAAUUUUUUUGUUGUAUAGCAGUUUAGCUCUUUUGUUAUAUAGGAGGAAUCAAGAUGUACUUGAUUCUUGAACACAAAUGUAAUUCAAUAUUUUAGUUUGUUUUGAACCCCAGUUGUAUGUCUUUGGGGUUAGGUUUAUAAUAAGAGUUUUGCUAAACGUUUAGCUAUGUAAUAUUUACACGAAUACCUGACGUUUCAACCAAGUGGUAAUCUUUCCAAGUUCACAUGAAAUGAAUUUUCAAGGUUUUCAUCAUU
Long non-coding RNA from Quercus lobata, 538 nucleotides. RefSeq lists it as uncharacterized. The transcript has 3 exons. The record is from RefSeq and is a predicted model, not a curated record. NCBI's taxonomy places the organism in Eukaryota, Viridiplantae, Streptophyta, Magnoliopsida, Fagales, Fagaceae.